GGGAAAAGCUCAAAUUUAAAAUCUGGUGGCCUUUGGCCAUCCGAGUUGUAAUCUAGAGAAGCACCUUCGGCGUUGGACCGUGUAUAAGUCUCUUGGAAUGGAGCAUCACAGAGGGUGACAAUCCCGUCUUUGACACGGAUUUACCAGUGCUGUACGGAUGUGCU
RNAcentral lists this ribosomal RNA (164 nucleotides) under Agaricales sp. RNAcentral's name for it is "partial large subunit ribosomal RNA". It matches the Rfam family "Eukaryotic large subunit ribosomal RNA", at positions 100 to 255 of the family's 3401-position model. Lineage: Eukaryota; Fungi; Basidiomycota; Agaricomycetes; Agaricales. The record is from RNAcentral.